AAACAAGAAUCAGACCUGCGUAGUUCAGGCAAAUUUGCAAAUUAGUAUGUGCAAUGUAUGAUUGUAAAAAUAAUGAUGGUCAUCCUAAAAAAUAAUAUGAAAGAUGAUCGGGAAUGAAUUGCUUUUAACAUUAAAAAUGCACUGAUCAAAUGAUCGAAAGAAUGAAUAUCAAGCAUGGGGAGAGCUUUGACACAACUUCAGUAUGCUGACAAGAUUGAAAAAGUCAGACAUUAAAGGAAUAAUGACAUUAUUUCGUCGUAGUUGCAGUAUUAUUAUAACUGAAAAAAUAUUGAACUUCUGCUUUUGAAAGUGAGGAUCGAUACGCCAUAAAUUUAAUGAUUUACGACAUUCAAAAGAAGAAGCUAAGUAUUCUUGCACAAAAAUUUGGUGAGGAUCUUAAGAUAGGUCGACUAAGCACUAAUGUCAAUGAGAUUUGGAUUUGAUGAGCUAUUGAUUUGUACUCUUGAGGACUUUUGAAGAGCGNNNNNNNNNNNNNNNNNNNNNNNNNNNNNNNNNNNNNNNNNNNNNNNNNNNNNNNNNNNNNNNNNNNNNNNNNNNNNNNNNNNNNNNNNNNNNNNNNNNNNNNNNNNNNNNNNNNNNNNNNNNNNNNNNNNNNNGUCUUUGAGCUGUUUCAAAAAAAUUUCUCAGUUUAAAUGCAGGAGAAAUUAUUCUGAAACGGUGGAGAGACCGAAUUCUAAUGCAGAGUUGCCUAUGUAUCUUGUCAGGACAAGAAUCGGGUCAAAACGUAGUUCAAACCUAUAUGAAGCUAAUGACGAUGUUAUUAAGGUGCAUUUUUAACUGAUUUGUUAUGCAAAACAAAGGUUAGACUACACUCUCUCACUAAAGUAUAAUCAAUUUAGAGCAAAAAAAUAUGUACAGACACAAUAAUCCUUUAAAUAUGUACAAACACUAUGAUAAUGCGUCACUUGGGUCGUGAAUCCUUCGGACAUAAAGUUACUAACGAUGCAUGCACCUAAAAUGGUGUUAUUUAACUAUAUCCCAUGUUGACUAAGAGUGGGUAGACACAUACUUAGAUUUCCCAUAUGAGAAGGCACGUAGUCCCACGACAGUAGAACUCCCAUUCACCCCACGCAUGCGCGGACUCUCUAAAAUAAGAUGAUUUGAAAGAAUUUUGGGAAAGUACAAUGUACAAUAUGUGUGAGUAUCAAUUUUCAAAAUGAAGAAAAUAUGAACGGAAUGUCAAUUUAUAUAAAGCGAUAAACAAAUAAAUAAUUUAUGCCACAUAAACAAAAGAAAUCAAGAUAAUUAGUAUGAAACAAAUAACAAUAUUUAAAAACAUAAAUAUUUACCUAAAUCUAUAACGGUUAGAGCCAUUCUCAAUCCCCUGCAGAGUCGCCAAACUGUCAUACUCAAUUUUUACCUAAGGUCAAAACGAGCACGACAUUAUGAACUCAAAAAGAAUUAAUUUUGUACAGAGUCGCCAGCUAAUUUUUAAGGAAAAAUAGAAAACCUAUUUAUUUAUUUAACAAGUAUGACUUUAUUUCAAUCUACGAAACCAAUUUAAAUUCUAGGUAAGGGUUCGAAUUAUUUCGAAGGGAAGAGAUUAGACACCCUUCAAAAUGCACAAAUACGAUUUCCAACCAGUCAGGUUUAUUAAAAGAGAAAAAAAAAAUCAAUAUUUUAAAUGCAACUAUAAAAUGUGUAUUAAAAUAAUAUAGACAAUUUAAUAUAAAAGUAUGAAUUAUUUGAUUAAAUAUGUGAAUCAAUUUUAAUAUAAAAUGUUAACAGCCUAAAUUUGCCUAAACGCGCGAUGAAUAUUUGUAUAAAAGUAUUCUCACCCCACGCCCCAAAAAAUAAAAUUUUCACUAUAAUUGAUAUUUGUACAAUGAUAAGAAUAAAGGAAAAUACAAAUACAAAAAAAAUUCAAACUCUUCUUUGAAUAUCAUUUCCGGCUAGUAUUCCCGAGAACCAAAAGAAUAUCAUUCCCGACGAGUAUUCCCGAGAAUCUACACAAAUGCUUGUAAUAAAAAUAUUAGUAACAAAUAAAUAAUUAUCAAAAUAAAUUUAAAAGGUAUGUGUGCAUAUAUGUAUUUAAAAAUAUAUUUUUUUGCUAAAAAAAUAGGCUCAAAUUAGAUUUAAGAUACAACUUGGAUACGAAGUAGUUGCUGAUUUGUUAGCCAUCCUAAAAAAACUUUUUGCGUUGUUAUAAAAAUUUCAUCAUCGCCCAAAUUUAUUUAUUUUAUUACGUAUUUAUAUAUGCAAUAUCCGUCUUUUAUAAUGAGAUGACCUCAAAUAUCUAAUCGGAGAGAUAAUUUCAUUGGAGAAUAGCAUAGUAUUUGUUCGUUAUUAAUUUAAUAAAAUUAAUAUGGACAAAAAUGUAAUGUAAUUGCCCAAAAGAGAGACAAUAGCAGCCAUGAAACUAGCAUAGCAACAACCCAAAACAAAGGCAAUAACAACUAUGAUACCCGCAAAGAAACAACCAAAAUAAAGGUAAUAACUGCUAUGACACCAGCAAAGUAACAACCAAAAUAAAGGUAAUAACAGCUAUGAUACCAGCAAAGUAACAACGAAAAUACCCGAACAAAUCACAAAUCUACUAAAGAUUUGAAAAAAAAUGAUAUAAUGAACAACAACAAAUAGAUCAAGCAAAUAAUUACAACAUAUACAAAUAUGUAUCAAAGAAGAGGUCAUCGGAUACGACAUCUUGUCUGCCAGAUCCGUGUAAAACAAAGCCCACAACAUACAAAAUUAAUGAGACGCAGUUCAUCAGAAGUAAAACUCGAAGCAAUGGUAAUUACCAUUACCGGCGUUGCUUUAACGACUUUCGCCGAAGCAACGCCGGAUACACAAAGCUCCGGACAGAUCUGGUGGUUUCUCACUGGGGGGAUUCGCCGGAAAUGCAAAAAAGGAGGGCGGCGCCGGUAGUUUGGGCUAGAGCUCGCCGGAGAUGGAGGAAGAGGAUAGAAGGGAGAGAGGGGUGGUGGUGCCUGGUGGUUUGCCGAAAUUCGGCCAUAGCUCACCGAAGAGAGGAGAGAAAAAAAAGGUCCACUGAUUUUGUGCGUAUGUGCUUGUAUUUUGUGUGUAGUGUGUGGGUGGA
RNAcentral lists this long non-coding RNA (3058 nucleotides) under Capsicum annuum. RNAcentral describes it as "long non-coding RNA (CANN_LNC010696)". The record is from RNAcentral. Lineage: Eukaryota; Viridiplantae; Streptophyta; Magnoliopsida; Solanales; Solanaceae.